AUGCGUGCGGACCACGGAUCCUGGCACUCCCUGUGUGUGGACGUGACCCGAAGCCUGGCGGGGAGAACCGCGCUACCCGCCGUCGGGUGCACAGACGCGGUUCUGAGAGAGGGCCAGAAGCCCACUGCGCCUCGGUCCUCCGGGGCUUGGGGGUGGGCGAAGGAAAGGGCCAGGGCCGCCCGCCGUGGCCGGCGCGGCCUGGGACAUCGGAGUAGCGCGGAGGGCGCCAGCCCGUUAGGGAACACGAUCUUCUUUCCCGGACUAGGAAGGGGUGUGGAGGCGCGGUCGCGGGGCGCCUUACAGCACCAGCUUGUCGGGUCCCGGGUCCGAGGGAAAUCCCUAGGUGUCCCAGGCCCUGGACCGGAGCCGUGGCUGCUCUCCCGGGGCCCCUCAGGUGGCGUGGCGAGUCCCAACUCCAGUGCUCCGCGGGCGCCCCGCCCCGCUCCUCCCUGGUCCCGCCUUCCGCUCCGCCCGGGCGCCCCGAGGACAAACGGGGGGGGGCGGGAGGACGGAAUUUCCCAGAGCGGGGGCUCCGGCUUCCCCGCAACGCGGCAGUGCCUUUCUGUUUACGGAGUGAAAGGGGAAAUGGAAAAGGCGGGGAGGCGGCGGCUGGCGUCCGCUGCGCCGCCCCUCGGCCGGCUCAGACGCCGUGAGUCAGGGACCGACGAGGGCGGCCUGGGCUGGAGGCCCCACGCUCACUGGUGCACUCGGGUCGGGACGACGCGCCGCGCUCCGGGAUCGGUCUCCCUGUCUCCAGCUUCCGCUGCUGCCGGACCUCGCUGUCCCGGCGCGCUCGACUCUGGAGGGGGUGGGCCACUAAGGGCCCACCGAGCCGUCCGGGGGCCGCGGCUGCAGCGCUCCGCCCGCCAGGUAACCCUCCGUUCGCGGGCUUCUGGGUGUCUUUGUGAUCGCAGCCCUCCAGCGUGCCCCGACGGUCCCCACCCUGAAGCGCGGGCUCCCGGGGCAGAGGGGCGAACUCCCGGGCUCUGGGAGGUGGGGGCGUGUCCGCCUCCCGCGCUGCUGCGCUUCCGUGGUUCGCGCGCUUAG
Molecule: long non-coding RNA, 1047 nt
Filed under: Ailuropoda melanoleuca (giant panda)
Lineage: Eukaryota; Metazoa; Chordata; Mammalia; Carnivora; Ursidae
Description: lncRNA (ENSAMEG00000025023.1)
Source: RNAcentral